GAAAUGCGAUAAGUAAUGUGAAUUGCAGAAUUCAGUGAAUCAUCGAAUCUUUGAACGCACCUUGCACUCCUUGGUAUUCCUUGGAGCAUGCCUGUUUGAGUAUCAUGAAAUCUUCAAAGUAAAUCUUUUGUUAACUCAAUUGGUUUCUACUUUGGUAUUGGAGGUCUUUGCAGCUUCACACCUGCUCCUCUUUGUUCAUUAGCUGGAUCUCAGUGUUAUGCUUGGUUCCACUCGGCGUGAUAAGUUAUCUAUCGCUGAGGACACUGUAAAAGGUGGCCAAGGUAAAUGCAGAUGAACCGCUUCUAAUAGUCCAUUGACUUGGACAAUACUUUUAUGAUCUGAUCUCAAAUCAGGUAGGACUACCCGCUGAACUUCAGC
Molecule: unclassified non-coding RNA, 378 nt
Filed under: plant metagenome
Description: partial contains 5.8S ribosomal RNA, internal transcribed spacer 2, and large subunit ribosomal RNA
Rfam family: 5.8S ribosomal RNA (bases 1-105)
Source: RNAcentral